UUUUUUUUUUUGGUACUGGCGAUCAAACUCGGGACCUUGCGCUUUUGAGGCAGGAGGCGGAACGACUGAGCUAAAUCCCUGGCCCAUGUAAUGGGUAUUCUUAUUUUCCACUCAACACUCAGCUUUGUGUUGGCCCUUACCCAGUGGAAAUUUUCCAGUAAUACAGAGAGGAAGCAGAAAGCGAGGCCUUGCCCAUUGUUCAGGCAAUGUGUGACAUUCUAGACUUAACCUGCACGUGUGACAUUUCUAGGUUUCUGACAAACAUGGAGAAUACCCUACACAGCGGUGACUCUCGGUACCAGCACGGUGGGGCCCUUCCCCAGUCCCUGUCACCCCGCAGGUCCCCGGAAGACCCCACAUUGACCACAGAUGGCUGGAACAAUCUCCUGCCACUUCCCCCAGGCAAGGCCCGAGUUAUUUCCAGUUUUCCCACACAAACACUGUCCUGGUCACUCCUACAUGAGCGUGCGGGAGUGACUGGGGACAGUGGGGCUGUGAGGAGUGCCAGGGCAAAUUAAAACAUUGCCACCUUACUGGAAAAUGUCCUCUUGUCAUCUGAGCGCUAACUGGUGCCCACACUCUUCCUGAAGGCCCAGGGAACACACACCCCGACCCCUGGCUUCGCCUGUCUGGUGAUGUCACCGCUGGACCAAGGGGGCCAGGGGGUGGCUACUGUGACAUCACAGGGCAGGCCUUGGGGGACAGUCUGCACUCCUCAUGGCUGUCGGCCUGUGGGAGGGGGCAGCACAGUGUCUCUCAGCUGGGGCAGCCAUGGGGAGAGGUUGGCUGGCUCAGCUGAGGUGGUGCCCCUGCUCUGAGCCAUGUGCGGGCCAAGUUCACCUCGAGCCAUGGCCAGAUACAGAUGCUGCUGCAGCCCAAGCCAGAGCAGAGGCUACCGUAGACGCAGCCACAGACCAAGGAGGCAAUGCCAUCCCAGACGGAGACAAAGGUGCAGCCGCCGUGGGUACACCCGGAGGGCCAGAAGACGCUAACUGCAGAAGAGCGAGGCCUCCGAACUCCUGCUGAAGACUUUGCCAGACCUCAAGACCGUCUUGCCACCUCUGACAAUGCCACCCUGCACUGAUACAGGAGCCUGCUAAGGAACAAUGCCGCCUGUCAAUAAAUGUCAAACUCAUCCCACUCAUGCCUUUGUCCUUGAUGGUUCGGUAGAGGGCUGGCCUGGAGGCGGAAGGGCUUGGCAAUGUGGCACAGUGGCACAGAAAGGAUGCUGGGAAGGGGGCCAUGAGAGUGACAGCUGUCACCGGGAUCCUGUCCAAAACUCAGUGACACGACAUGAGGAACAUCUGCUCCCAAACUGCCUACCUGUCUGACCCCUGGAGCUGGGUCAUCACCUUUGAGGGCCACUGUCCUUCCACCCUGUUCUGCGGCUGGCAGCUGGCAAUGAGCCACAGGGGAAGAUGCUCUAAGCAUCAGAGGGCCAUCAGGGCUUCCUUACCCCAAGGGUAUCUGGGGGUUCCCAGAGCUGGUUAAACAUCUGCCAGUCCCCAAAGUGUCACACAAGUUCAAUUCAAAGCUGAAAUCUCGACAGUUCCUUUGGUUAUACAGGGAACAAGACAGUCACCAUUAGAAUCAUGAAUUCAAGGUUUUCCUUCAUUCAGCAGCCCUCAUUUGUGUCCCCAUUGGAGAGCAGUGGUAACUUGGCCAGGCAGCAGGGGAGCUGCCCUGCCCAUUCAGUCCUCAAGUGCCUGCAGGAGGUUAAGCAUUGUGCCCAUGACACGAACUCACCCAUCAGAGCUGCCCGAACGAAUUCCCUUCCCACAGGAUGCUGCACACCA
Molecule: long non-coding RNA, 1796 nt
Filed under: Heterocephalus glaber (naked mole-rat)
Lineage: Eukaryota; Metazoa; Chordata; Mammalia; Rodentia; Bathyergidae
Description: lncRNA (ENSHGLG00100047869.1)
Source: RNAcentral